GUUGGUUAAUUUCUCAUUCCGGAAAAUUUAACUCCAUCACUACCAUGUUGGGGGUUCCUUAAUGCCAGAUAACAUUUCCAGGAAAGCAAAGAGAGGUAUACACCACUAAUAGCAGAGCAUAAAGGAUGGCUGGGAGAUUUGAUAAACUUACUGUUGUAGGAGAACAAUUUCAAGCAUUGAUAUAUAUUGGAAAAUUGUGCUGUCAGUCUUUUGUAUGACUUGGAGGACAAGCUUCCCCUUGAAAACUGGAACAAAUGUGAAAUGAAGAAUGUGUAUCUUCAUAUUGAGAACUUUUCCUUGUAAAUCACCUCUGGGAAAAAAUUUAUUUCAUAUCAAUUGAUUGUGUUCAUUAUCUGGUCUAAUUUUAUAUUUGUAAUUUUUUUUUAAAAUUGCAUGGCGAAACACAUUUUUGCUCACCUGAGUCAAAAGCUUAAAUGAGUUUUUUGA
Saccostrea cuccullata (small rock oyster) is the source of this 447-nucleotide long non-coding RNA. RefSeq lists it as uncharacterized. The transcript has 2 exons. NCBI's taxonomy places the organism in Eukaryota, Metazoa, Mollusca, Bivalvia, Ostreida, Ostreidae. The record is from RefSeq and is a predicted model, not a curated record.